AUUAAAGCUCCUGAGAGGCAAACCCCUUUGUUGCUCCAAGGUCUUUAUAAUCUUCACCUGGGUUUGCUGAAACUCAGCUGCUUGUCCUCUGCAUUAAAGAAUGAGUCUGGGAAUUAAGUUGAUGGGAUUCAGCUGUGUGUAAACCUUUGCACUACAGUAGAUUUUAAAAAGCAGUCCUGGUACUUAAAAAUCUGCUUGUUCAAGAUAGACACAAUAACUGGAGAGAGGGAGUGACAACCUAAACCUAACUUGACCUGCCAGCUGGUGAAUUCCCCAUAGGAGGCACCAGUCCUGCAGCCCACCAUUCAGACGACUGCUCUGCUGACACAUAAGGUUUAACAACUCUACCUUCACACCUUCAGAAUUACUGUUAUCAAGGAGGCACAGCUUCUGACAGAAGUUACAACUCACCACAACACCUCAACAUCUAUUAGUGUUGCCAAAGCUAGACCCAGUCCUACCUUUGCAAACGUUAUGUGAACUCAGUUUACUUCUGUGAACUCCAUCUGAGAUGGUAGGGAAAAAAUAAACGUAGAGUGGCUUGUGGUGAAUGUCACACACAGAUAUGCAGGACCUACAUCUUCACAGUCUGGUUCUACCCUUGCAAACAACGUUAUUGAAAAGAAAUAAAUAAAUACAUUUGGCUCCAGUGAGUAACCAUUACCUAGAAACUGAAAUAGAUUGAGUAGACUGCAAUAAAUCCCUGCCAGAAAAAAUAAAAAGAGUGUGUGGGAAUGCCUAUACUUUAUCUUAAACAUUUCUUAGGAAAAUAACUU
Molecule: long non-coding RNA, 776 nt
Organism: Pogoniulus pusillus (Red-fronted tinkerbird)
Lineage: Eukaryota; Metazoa; Chordata; Aves; Piciformes; Lybiidae
Exons: 2
Source: RefSeq, a predicted model, not a curated record